RNAcentral lists this ribosomal RNA (2905 nucleotides) under Enterobacter hormaechei subsp. xiangfangensis. RNAcentral's name for it is "23S ribosomal RNA". It matches the Rfam family "Bacterial large subunit ribosomal RNA". Lineage: Bacteria; Pseudomonadati; Pseudomonadota; Gammaproteobacteria; Enterobacterales; Enterobacteriaceae. The record is from RNAcentral.
GGUUAAGCGACUAAGCGUACACGGUGGAUGCCCUGGCAGUCAGAGGCGAUGAAGGACGUGCUAAUCUGCGAAAAGCGCCGGCGAGGUGAUAUGAACCUUUGACCCGGCGAUGUCCGAAUGGGGAAACCCAGUGUGUUCCGACACACUAUCGUUAACUGAAUACAUAGGUUAACGAGGCGAACCGGGGGAACUGAAACAUCUAAGUACCCCGAGGAAAAGAAAUCAACCGAGAUUCCCCCAGUAGCGGCGAGCGAACGGGGAGCAGCCCGGAGUCUGAAUCAGCUUGUGUGUUAGUGGAACGGUCUGGAAAGUCCGACGGUACAGGGUGAUAGUCCCGUACACGAAAACACACUUGCUGUGAACUCGAAGAGUAGGGCGGGACACGUGGUAUCCUGUCUGAAUAUGGGGGGACCAUCCUCCAAGGCUAAAUACUCCUGACUGACCGAUAGUGAACCAGUACCGUGAGGGAAAGGCGAAAAGAACCCCGGCGAGGGGAGUGAAAAAGAACCUGAAACCGUGUACGUACAAGCAGUGGGAGCCUCUUUAUGGGGUGACUGCGUACCUUUUGUAUAAUGGGUCAGCGACUUAUAUUCUGUAGCAAGGUUAACCGUAUAGGGGAGCCGAAGGGAAACCGAGUCUUAACUGGGCGUUAAGUUGCAGGGUAUAGACCCGAAACCCGGUGAUCUAGCCAUGGGCAGGUUGAAGGUUGGGUAACACUAACUGGAGGACCGAACCGACUAAUGUUGAAAAAUUAGCGGAUGACCUGUGGCUGGGGGUGAAAGGCCAAUCAAACCGGGAGAUAGCUGGUUCUCCCCGAAAGCUAUUUAGGUAGCGCCUCGUGAACUCAUCUUCGGGGGUAGAGCACUGUUUCGGCUAGGGGGCCAUCCCGGCUUACCAACCCGAUGCAAACUACGAAUACCGAAGAAUGUUAUCACGGGAGACACACGGCGGGUGCUAACGUCCGUCGUGAAGAGGGAAACAACCCAGACCGCCAGCUAAGGUCCCAAAGUCAUGGUUAAGUGGGAAACGAUGUGGGAAGGCACAGACAGCCAGGAUGUUGGCUUAGAAGCAGCCAUCAUUUAAAGAAAGCGUAAUAGCUCACUGGUCGAGUCGGCCUGCGCGGAAGAUGUAACGGGGCUAAACCAUGCACCGAAGCUGCGGCAGCGACACUAUGUGUUGUUGGGUAGGGGAGCGUUCUGUAAGCCGUUGAAGGUGUGCUGUGAGGCAUGCUGGAGGUAUCAGAAGUGCGAAUGCUGACAUAAGUAACGAUAAAGCGGGUGAAAAGCCCGCUCGCCGGAAGACCAAGGGUUCCUGUCCAACGUUAAUCGGGGCAGGGUGAGUCGACCCCUAAGGCGAGGCCGAAAGGCGUAGUCGAUGGGAAACAGGUUAAUAUUCCUGUACUUGGUGUUACUGCGAAGGGGGGACGGAGAAGGCUAUGUCAGCCGGGCGACGGUUGUCCCGGUUUAAGCAUGUAGGCGGAGGUUCCAGGUAAAUCCGGUACCUUAUUAACGCUGAGGUGUGAUGACGAGGCACUACGGUGCUGAAGUGAUAAAUGCCCUGCUUCCAGGAAAAGCCUCUAAGCAUCAGGUAACACGAAAUCGUACCCCAAACCGACACAGGUGGUCAGGUAGAGAAUACCAAGGCGCUUGAGAGAACUCGGGUGAAGGAACUAGGCAAAAUGGUGCCGUAACUUCGGGAGAAGGCACGCUGAUAUGUAGGUGAAGUCCCUGCGGGCGGAGCUGAAAUCAGUCGAAGAUACCAGCUGGCUGCAACUGUUUAUUAAAAACACAGCACUGUGCAAACACGAAAGUGGACGUAUACGGUGUGACGCCUGCCCGGUGCCGGAAGGUUAAUUGAUGGGGUUAGCGGCAACGCGAAGCUCUUGAUCGAAGCCCCGGUAAACGGCGGCCGUAACUAUAACGGUCCUAAGGUAGCGAAAUUCCUUGUCGGGUAAGUUCCGACCUGCACGAAUGGCGUAAUGAUGGCCAGGCUGUCUCCACCCGAGACUCAGUGAAAUUGAACUCGCUGUGAAGAUGCAGUGUACCCGCGGCAAGACGGAAAGACCCCGUGAACCUUUACUAUAGCUUGACACUGAACACUGGUCCUUGAUGUGUAGGAUAGGUGGGAGGCUUUGAAGCGUGGACGCCAGUCUGCGUGGAGCCAUCCUUGAAAUACCACCCUUUAAUGGCUGGUGUUCUAACGUAGACCCGUAAUCCGGGUUGCGGACAGUGUCUGGUGGGUAGUUUGACUGGGGCGGUCUCCUCCCAAAGAGUAACGGAGGAGCACGAAGGUUGGCUAAUCCUGGUCGGACAUCAGGAGGUUAGUGCAAUGGCAUAAGCCAGCUUGACUGCGAGCGUGACGGCGCGAGCAGGUGCGAAAGCAGGUCAUAGUGAUCCGGUGGUUCUGAAUGGAAGGGCCAUCGCUCAACGGAUAAAAGGUACUCCGGGGAUAACAGGCUGAUACCGCCCAAGAGUUCAUAUCGACGGCGGUGUUUGGCACCUCGAUGUCGGCUCAUCACAUCCUGGGGCUGAAGUAGGUCCCAAGGGUAUGGCUGUUCGCCAUUUAAAGUGGUACGCGAGCUGGGUUUAGAACGUCGUGAGACAGUUCGGUCCCUAUCUGCCGUGGGCGCUGGAGAAUUGAGGGGGGCUGCUCCUAGUACGAGAGGACCGGAGUGGACGCAUCACUGGUGUUCGGGUUGUCAUGCCAAUGGCACUGCCCGGUAGCUAAAUGCGGAAGAGAUAAGUGCUGAAAGCAUCUAAGCACGAAACUUGCCCCGAGAUGAGUUCUCCCUGAGACUUUAAGUCUCCUGAAGGAACGUUGAAGACGACGACGUUGAUAGGUCGGGUGUGUAAGCGCAGCGAUGCGUUGAGCUAACCGAUACUAAUGAACCGUGAGGCUUAACCUU